GGCUUGAGGCUCCUUGCCUGAGUGUUACCACGCAUUGAGCAUCUUCAUCCCUGGGGUGUUUAACAGAGGCAAUUGUUUGUCCUCAGGGAUCUUGGUCUGGUGCAGGCUGAGGAGCAGCCGGGACGAUCUCUCCAGGUAGUUGCUGAAAAUUUAGCACUGGAAAAGCCAGUCCUUCAUGGUCCUCAGCGUUAUCCCUAUGGAGAUGCCUCUUGGGAGAGUGGAAGUGCAUCCAGGAGAGGGUGAAAUCAUGUCCCGUGGUGGGAGUGAUUGCUGUGCUUGCAAGCAUCCAGGACAGCCAAAUGUUA
This is a long non-coding RNA of Oxyura jamaicensis (ruddy duck), 305 nucleotides long. RefSeq lists it as uncharacterized. The transcript has 2 exons. The record is from RefSeq and is a predicted model, not a curated record. Lineage: Eukaryota; Metazoa; Chordata; Aves; Anseriformes; Anatidae.